CUGUUAAGAGUGAACAGUAAAUAGUAAAGAUUACUUGUGUAAAAAAAAACAAACAAACUUAAAAUAGUACGUGCUUCUAAAUACACAUAUCAAAAUCUUUUUGUUUUUCGUAUGCCUUCUUUUUUUAUGAAACUGGGAUGAGCAUAUUGCAUUUGCAUGUAAGAGUCUCAUCAACUACAUCCUCUUUUUUUUUUCCUGCUCUCUCUUUUAUUAAGGCCCAGUUUGGGACAGCUAUGCUGUGAGAAUAAUUUUUUCUGAAAUUACUGUAAAAAGAAUUACUUAUGGAAUUGCUGUGAGAGUAAUUAGCUGAGAUGUUUGGUAAACUGUUUUUAAAAAAGCUGUAAGAACUAAAAAACAAUUUUAAGUGUUUGAGAUAAAAAUAGAAACUCUUUUAGAUAGCUAUGAUGACCAAAAUGGGCAUACAUGUUAUCCCCUCUUCUUUUUUUACUUUUUUCCCCCUUAUUUUCGCUCUUUUAGCUUCUAUCCCACCAUUGAUCAUCACAUCCAAAAACUAUGAGCUCUUACAACUAGCAACAACCCCAUGAGAUAUGAUCCCCUUUUCAACUCUUAAACCCAGAUUCGGUGGUCUCAUCUCCUACUCACCCAAACCACCCUCCAACUUUUCUCUGAUCCCGAACAGGAGCUUCACCUCCAUGAACAAUGAUUUUCAUUUUGCAGACCAAUUAUAGGAACUAUGAAGGACAAAGGAGAGGAUGAGGGAUGUACCCAUGAAAUUUUUUGGGUUUGUAUCGGUAGAACAUAGAAUUUAUGUUGGUGAGGAAGAGUAAAGUGAGAAUCAAAGAGGCUGGGUUGUUUAGCCAAUGACUUAAAAGAGGAUGGUACUUAAUAUGAACAAGUGUUCUUUUCAGAAAGAAUACGGGUAUAAUAGGAUUUAGGAAAGAUUCAUUUAACCCUUCCGUGUUUCUGAAAUUGAUUCCCGUAAAAACACCUUUUACCCUUCUUCUCCAAAACCCGCUUUUAAGAGAAUCUAUUCCUCUAAAAUCAGUUCUACGGGUGGUUACCAAACACCUCAUGUUGGCCCCAAAAUCACUUUUGACCCUAAAUGCAGUUUCAAAAUCGUUCCCAAACUGGGCCCAACUCUCUUUGUUCUCGAGACCUAUAAUUUAGAAGAAAAAUGCUUGCGUUCAAACUCAAUCUUAUUUAUGUUCAAAAAAAAAAACUCAAUCUUAUUUGUAUAUGUUAGGCACUGUACAUCCAUGAUGGAACCGUGAACCAUCCAUACAUUAAGUCAAACGUUAACGAUCAUCUCAACAAAAAAAUCAAAGAAACCAUAACUCAUAAGUUCCAGAGCAUCAAACAAAUGGACAACUCUAGUGAAAGUUAGUAGUCUCGUGUCAACCGUUCAUUGUUCAAUGUUAUUGAAUUCAAACUAGAACAAAAGUACAACCACAAGAUCCUAAAUGGAUUGAAAGCAACAACAAGAACAACGACACACAAACAUAUCCUACAAACCCUACAAACUUUAGCUAAGGAGCAAAUCAAUCAACAAUAGGAUGACACAAAGACAUAUUCCUAAGGCCACACAUGACCGUCACCCGAUCGGCCGCCUAAACCUUAGAAGCCAACCAAACUAGUCUCGUAGAAGCACAACAGUACCUAACCCAUCGAAAACUCUCCACAACACAAAUCUCAAAUACAUACAAAACAUCCUCAUAGACAGUAACCAAAACAAAACAAAAAAGAAAAGAGGUAAAAAGAAUGAUCCGAUCUGCAGCGAGGAAGGAUCUGAAGGGACAACAUGCAGCCGCUUGUAUUCUCUUCCAUACUUUGUAUCAUAAUAAUAACUUUUGAAUUAAAAUUACAGUCUCUACCAACAUUUGUAACUUGUAAGUGACUGGCAAGUGACAUUAUUGUACUGCUUAGUUGAAUAUCACACAAUCUUUUCUUAAUGAACUAAAGUUUGAACUCGUUUACCGGAGAAAAAUAAUUUGUAUUACAACCUAAUUAGUUCAUGAAUCAAAUUCAAUUCAUGCUAGCUAUGCAUACAAACUCAGACCAAAAAAAAUAGCUAUGCAUACAAACAGUUCAGUGGAUCACAAGGUCUGAAGCACCAUAAAACAGACUGAAGUACAGGCAUGCCAAUGUCCACCUGCACUCUGCCCAGUCACAAGGUCCAUAUAUCUCCCUGCUACAAGCAGCCAACACAAACCUGCGGCAAAUACUUGGUCUGCUUACUUGUGGUUGUGGUUGUAGAAAUUAAUUAAUUAAUUAAUUAAUGUUUUAAGAUUAAUAGUAGAGGGGACAGAUGUCAAAAAGAUGUGAGAUGGGCCGAAGGAAACCGACUUGGGUUUUGGGAAACACUAUAAAAGAGCAUAGGGAUUCAGUCUUUCUCCAGAAAAAAAGAAGAAAAAGAAAUCGACCUUUCUCUCAUGAUUGGCCGGAAAAUCCCAAGCGCCGGGAAGAGCAAAUCGUUCGAGUAUGAUGGGGAGUUCAAGAUGAGCACCAGGAUAGAAAGGCAAAAGAGAGCAAGGAAUUACGCAACGGCUGGAUGUUGGUUCCUCUUAUAUAUAUAUAUAUUUAUUUUUUUUUUAUUUAUUUUCAGAUGUUUUGUGAUUGUCGAGAUUGUUGAGUAACAUGUUUGAGUAUUACCACGAACAGGUAGGAAGAUCAGGGUCGGUACACAACUGUAUCCAGUCAAGUUCAUAGAUUGUAAGAUUUUGGAUGAGAUUGCAUUAUACAUUCACGUUUCGACUUGAGUUGUCAUAUUAGCCAGUACUGAUUGAUUAAUGUCAGUGAAACAGUCCCGGCACCAGAACCAGAGUUCUUCACUACCCUUGACGAGGAUGGUAAUGCUUAAUUUUUUAGGAUGAUUUUCUCAUUGCAGCUGUUCAUGUUUCCUUUUUAUGAAUGUUUUUCAUAGUACUGACCCUUUGGUUUUGAAAUUGUCUCUUACAGGUGUUGAACAUACAUACUGCGCUUACAGUUGUAAGUAAGCUCUUGAUUUAAACAGUUCGGAAAUAUCCUUAAGCUCUGUGUUUAAAAGAACAUACAUAUUUCUUUCAUUAUUUCUUUGUUCGAUUUGUAAUGACAUGGAAAUGCUGUGAUCAAUUUGGUUAUUGAAGAAAACUUCAGUAGCCAUGUCUUAUGGGUUUUUUGCAUGAGGUCCGACACAAAAAGAUAUUUGUGAAUUUGUGUUUUUGCCAUAUAACUUUUCCAGUCCAAUCAUUUGGCUCUAUCUGGUCUAUGCCUGAUCUAUAGCACACUGUUAAGAUGGAACAAAUAUCUAUUGAUGUAAUCAGAGAUUUUGUUGCAUCAAAAGUUUUUUGUUCGUAACAUUUUUAAUCACAGUUUCAUUCUUGCUUUUCUUAUGACAUUAUCAAUAUGUUUUCUAGUACCUCAUGUCAAAUUAUGUCCUGAACUCCUGUGUGUUUUGGUAAUGACUAUAUAUAUAAUGGUAUUUCAUUUACAACAGUUAGCAGUGAAAAAUGAAAGAGUAUCUGUGUUUGUAUGUCAUGUGCCCCUGGUAUGGCACAACACAGACCCUUGGUUUUGUUAAAUAAUCAUCCAUAUUUUCCCUUGCAUGCACACAGAGAGCCAUCUGUUUUCAAUUAGUCACUGAAUCUCUUCUUUUAGUUUUUCAAAUCAUACUGCCAUUUGUACUUGUGAAGCAUGUGUCAAAGGGCUUGUUUUCUGUUGUUAUUGUUUUGACAGUGUAUGUGUGAAACAGGUACAUAUCCACGUCCAGAGCCCAAAGGUAUGUUCUCUUUUUAUUUUUAUAUUAUUUUGUUAGCGUUCAUGAUCUCUCUUCGUAUGGUACUGUUCAGUCUCACUUAAUUGCCUUGUUGUUGUUGAAACAGUUGUUAAACAACCCGACCCGGGAUAUGGUAAGAUUUUAUACAUUUUAAAAAGUCGUAUAUAUGUUUUCUAGGCAUUUCUUUUGGGCUCUGUGCUUUGUAUGAAUUUGGGCUUCCAUUUUCGGCUGAAGGAUUAUGUGUUUUAUUUUCUACUUUUUAGUUCUUGCGACUAAAGUUACGUUGGACUGGUUUUGACGCUGUCUAAAGGAUAAGUAACGUGUUGAUUGUAUAUUUAUGUAAUUUAAGUGAAAUUUCCAGCCGAUUCAUUUUGGUCUGUGAAUAAUGUGUAGUUAAUACACUUUAACGGGGUCGUAGAUCAUUUUUGCAUUGCAGCUCCACUUUAGCAAACAUCGUUUUACUAUAUUACUGUUCCAUGUGAUACUGUGUUCACAGUUGUGAUUAUUUUUUUGUUUCCUGAAACAGAUGAUGUAUUUAAAUUUUUUGGUGAUCUUGCGGACUAUUAUUAUGAUGGUAAGCUUNNNNNNNNNNNNNNNNNNNNGCUUCGAACUAACUGAAAUCAAUUGAUGGAUCAAAUCUGCCAAACCUGAACCGUUCAUGCCUAUAAUUUUAAUUCGCAGUUUUGAACACCUUAACGAUCACCAAUUUGGAUGAAAUUUUGCAGAAGUGAUUUACAUAUUAGGACCUAAAAACUGAACGGUUAAGAUUGAAAAGUAGGUCUAAUGCUUGAUCCCUCAUAUAUGUCAAAAAAAAGGAUCCCUUAGUAGAAGGGCCCUGUAUAUAUAUGUAUGUAUAUAUUCACACUUCACCACCCCUUAAUUAGCGUAGUCAUUGUGGUUUUCACAUUAUGUAUGAUUGGUUACAUCUUCUCCAGCCAGAUUAUUUUGGUCUUGUGCCAUACAGUGACUAUCUGUUGCAGUGAUCAUAGAUCUGAUUGUAUCUGCAAUCUUAUAUAUGUGGCUUACAUGCCUAAUGCGUUUGAAACCUUCAAACCAUCCCUACUGUUACCUUUAUUGACUUUCAUAGUAAUGGAGUUCAAAAAUAAAUUAGGGCAAACUGCAGUAUAUAUCUCGUGCGGGAUCAUAUAUCAUUUUUGCAUUACACUCCACUUAAAUAGGAAACAUUUUUGUUUUUGCUUUCUUUAUGUUACUAUUCAAUCUCAGAUGUUGACAAUAGUGAUUUUUUUUUGGGUUACAACAUUUGUCACUUACUCUUUUUCUUUUUCCUGAUACAGAAGUUGUGUUUACUUUUGGUAAUGAACCUGGUUCGAUCCCCAUUGAUGGUAAGGUUUAGAUUUUGUUUAUUUUUCAUUACGCCCCAACAUAGAUACAAUCUUGAGUCCACCACUGCCUUGAUUAGUCAUUGUGGUUUUUACAUUAUGUAUGGCUGAUAAAAAUUAAUUAUAGUUCUUAAAUAUGUUUUGCUACAACCAAAUUAUUUUUGUCUGUGUGCAGUGCAUGACUCAUUUGGCAUUUACUAUUCAAUGAAGCAAGAAUAUUGUUGAUGUUUGUCGCUGUAUUAUGCAUAUAUAGAUGAUACACUAGAUUAGGUAUGCCAUGUUUGUGGGGGGUUUACAUGAUUACCGAUUCUGUUUCUUUUUCUUUCUUAGCGGAACUAUCAUUUAUACCACCAGCAGUCAGCAAUGUCACCAAGGGCGGGAAAGCAAAGUGUUCACCUGCUAGAGGUUAAAGUAAAUUAGGGAGACUGCAGUAUAUUUCUCUAGUGUCUUGCACCUUUCUAAUUGCAGAUUUUGGCAGUUCUCCUCAGAGGAGCUCUGUUUGUGUGGCGUAGUUGUUUGUGGUUUCUGAUGAUACAUUGGGUUUGCGGCAGCAGUGUGUUUUGAGGGAAAGUGUGUUAUUUUGAUGCUCUGUUUAUAUUUUCCAGGACUACUCUUUGUAAGAAAGUUCUGUGGAUUGAUAUGCCUUACUGGUGUGUUCUGAGGGAAUGUGUUGGUUCCUUUAUUUUGAUGCUCUGUUUACAUUUCCCAAGUGUUCGUGAGAAAGUUCUGUGGAUGGAUGUGCAUUUCUGGUUAAUAUUGUAGUAUGUCUCCCUUGCGUAUAUCAAUAUGCUAGAUUUUUAAAAUGAUGAUACUUUUAAGAUAUAUUCAGGGAGAAGAAACUGAAAACUCUGGUUUUACGAGCUACACUUCCUUCUACUUGAUAUCUUCUUUGUAUUAUUACUCUUUUAUCCCGGACUUUACUGAUCUUUCAGUCUUAUCCUCGCAUCCAUGUCAUCUCAUUUAUAACCAAGAUCAGCCUCCCAAGUCUUACGGAUAAUGGAUAGCUGUGUUCAGUAUAGCAAUAAGAGAGACAUGGUUUUGCAAAUUCGCCAUCCUAUAAAACAGAUACAAAUCUUGGGGCCCUACAUCCCUCACUUUCUGAGAAGGAGAUGGCGGAACAGUGUUGUGGAGAUCAUAUACGGUGGUCUGCAGUUAUCAAAGUUCUAAUGAAGGCCCAGGUCGUUGGGGUUAGGGGGUUUCAGUUCAGAUAUUUAGGACUAAGAAAUUGUAUCAUUGAAACACUUCAUGGCUCCAAAGGCAUGAAUCCUUACGGAAGUACUUGAAAGUUAAAAUGGACCACAAAUUCACCGACGCCAAAACAGGUUUUUAGCUUUUAAUCCAAGCAGUACCCUAUAGUGAGUACAAAUGGACACUCUUUUAUCUUUUUUAUUUCUUUUGGUAAAUUUAAUGUACAGAUCAAUGCUGAGUACAGUUCAAGUUCUUUUUGGUAGAAGGCCACCGUUCAUGACAUUCAGUUUACAUUUGUAUACGAUAUCAAACAGUUCUAAUAUACUUGAAGGACUUAUUCUAUUAUAUGUGAUUAAAAUAGUUCAUUAGAAAACUAUUUGAUGUUCCUCUCCACAACAACAUACAGAAAUUGAACGAUCAUAUAACUUAAAAGAGAUAAUUAGAGGAAGAUGUGGCAUUUUUACAGAUUCGUGAUAUAUUUACAGAUUCAUGUCUAUGCAAGGAACAAACCUUUUGCUGCAAUUUUAUGAGAGUCUAGUGUCUUAUCUUAUUCAUAAAUAACGAUCAUUCAUGUGCUUUUAGGUAAGUACUAUAUCCUACCAGUUUGUAGGAAUAUUUCCUAGUUCAAGUAGAUUUGGGUGCCCAGAGUAGAUUUGGGUCCAAUCUGGGUGUCCAUUGCUAGAUGGGCGUGGACUGUGAUGGGUCCGAUGGAGGGGAGAUGGGCUCUUCCAAGACCCACUCAUUGUUGGGCUCGAAUCUGGGACCCAAGAAGAUGGGUAGGGCUGUGUUAGGUGUUUAUCCAUUGUUAUGAAGGCCCAGUUUCAUGGCUCUUAUUCUCAGGAGAAGGAUUGGCUCUUGCUCUCAAAAGAAGGAAUGACGUCAAGGUUACUUGGUUACUUGUCACGUUUGUGUCGACCUUGCAUAUGGUUUGUGACAUUAAAAUUGCUUACGUUCUUAGAUCAUAAGUUUAUGAGUGGUUUUUGCAUGGUUUAAUUAUUUCGAGCCCAAGAGGACGGAUCAUGUUUAUGUUGUAUUCCUACUUUUAGCUUUUAAUGAAUUGAUGUCCUAUUAUAAAAAAAAUAAUAAAAAUAAAAAACAUUCCCUGAAAUAAGAUUCAUCAUAAUUGAGUCAAAAUAUGAAGAUUUUUUGGGUCAUACCUGUUGAGUUGGGUUCGAGACAUAUUCUAGAUUUUGGGUUAUGAGUUAGAGCUGCCCUAAUUGUGGAUAUUUUCUUCCAUAUUUUGUAUCAUAACAAUAACUUUUGAAUCAAGUACCAUCUCUAGCAACGGUUAUUGGCAAGUGACAUUGUUGUAUUGCUUAGUUGAAUUUCAAGCAAUCUUUUCAUAACAAACUUAAUUCUGAACUCGUUUAAUAAGGAAGGAGAAAAUAAUCUGUAUAAAAAAGAAAACAAAUACACUAGUUGGUUCAUGAAACAAAUUCAAUUAAUGCCAGCAUACAAACAGUUCAGACUGAAGCACAAGCAUGCCGGUGCGCACCUGCACUCUGCUCACAACGUUCAUAUAUCUCUGCUGCUACAAGCCAAGAUUGUUGAUGGUGACCUUGUCUACCUACCUUGUCUGCUUACUUUGUUUUUUUUUCGAUGGUGACCUUGUCUGCUUACUUGUGCUUGUUUGGUUUUUUUUGGGUCUGAUACUUGUGGUUUUGCUUUAGAAAUUAAUUAAUUAAUGUUUAAAUAGAAGCGGGGACAGAUGUCAAACGGAUAUGAGAUGGGCCGAACAAAACCGACUUGGGUUUUGGGAAACAAUAUAAAAACAGCAUAGGGAUUCAGUCUUUAUCCUCGUGAAGAAAAAAGAAGAAAAAAGAAACCGACCUUUCUGGCUUUCUCUGUCUCAUCAUGAUUGGCCGGAAAAUCCGAUACGCCGGAAAGAGCAAAUCUUCCGACUACGAGGAGUUCAAGAUGAGCAUUAGGGUAGCAAGGAGAUUGAGGAGGGUAAGGAGAGCAAGGAAAGCACGGAACGGCUGGAUGUUUGGUACGUACCUCUUUGAAUUUUGAUUUUUGAUUUUUGAUUUUUGUGCUUGUCGAGGUUGUUGAGUAACAUGUUUCAGUAUUUUCAUGAACAGGUCGGAAGAUCAGGACCGGGAGACAGUUUAUUCGACCUAAGUUCCUAGAUUGUAAGAUGUAUUUUGGAUGAGUUUGCAUUAAACAAUAAUCACGUUUCGACUUGAAUAGUACUGAUUAAUGUCACUGCGAAACAGACGAGACAUCAGAUUCAGAACCAAAGAUCGUCACCUUCGUUGACAAAAAAGGUAAUGUUUCUUUUUUUUUUUUUUUUUUUUUUUUUGCAUUGCAGCUGUUCAUGUUUCCAUUUUUAUGGAUGUUAGUUUUCAUACUACUGACUUUUUAUGGGUUCAAUUUUCACUUACAGGUGUUGAACAAACAUUAAGAAUGUACCAUAGUAAGUACACUCUUGAUUGAAGUCCUUCAGCUCUGUGUUUUAACUUGUAAAGAACAUGAAUAUUUUUGUCAUUAUUCCCAUUGUUCGUUUUAUAAUGACAUGAAAUGCUGUCAUCAAUUUGGUUACUGAAGAAAACUUCAGUAGACUUCCUUAGCCAUGUCUUAUGGGUUUCUCGCAUGAGGUAUAGCCGACGCAAAAUCAUAUUUCUAGUUUUGCGGUUUUUCCAUAUUUUUUUCCCAGUCUGAUCAUUUUGCUCUAUAUGCCUGAUCCGUAGCACACAGUUAAGAUAGAGCAAAUUUCUGUUGAUGGGAUCAGAGAUUUCUUUCCAUCAGCAGUUUUAUGUUCAUAACGUACAGUUUUAAUCACAGUUUCAUUCUUGUUUAUCUUUUAUGACAAUAUCGAUCAAUUUGCUUUCUAGUACCUCAUGUCAAGUAGCAUGUCCUGAACUCCUGUGUAUUUUGGUAAUGACUAUAUAUAUACACACACAACGGUUAGCAGUGAAAAAUGAAAGAGCUAGCAUCUGUGUUUGUAUGUCACGUACGUGCCCCUGGUAUGGCACAUCACAGACCCUUGGUUUUGUUAAAGAAUCAUCCAUACUUUCCCUUGCAUGCAGAGAGAGCCAUCUGUUUUCAAUUACACUUAAUUUUUUCUUUUAGUUUUUUAAAUUAGACUGCCAUUAGUACUUGUAAAGCAUGUGUUAAAAGGUUUGUUUUUAUUGUUUUGACGGUGUAUGCAUGUGUGAAACAGGUUCAUAUCCCCCUCCACAGCCCAAAGGUAUGUUCUCUUAUUAAUUUUUUUUUACCAUUCAUAUUUCUCUUCUUAUGUUGCUGUUCAGUUUCACUUAAUCGCCUUUCGUUUGCUGUUGAAACAGUUGUUAAACCUCCCGAGCCGGGAUAUGGUAAGAUUUUGAUCAUUUUUCAAGUCUUGUAUAUGUUUUCUAGGAAUUUCUUUUGACCUCUGUGCUUUGUAUGAAAUCGGGUUUCAAUUUUCGGAUGAAGGAUUAUAUGUGUUUUAUUUUCUACUUUUUAGUUCUUGCGAGUUGCGAGUAAAGUGCGUUGAACUGGCUUAGACGCUGUCUAAAGGAUACAAAAAAUUGUGUUGAUUGUAUAUUUAUGUAAUUCAAGCAAAUUGUUAUCUGUAACAUUUCCAGCCAAGUCAUUUUGGUCUGUGUAUAAUGUGUAGUUAUUACACUUCAUAGAUCAUAUUUUUCAAUUGCAGCUCCACUUUAGCAAUCAUCUUUACUAUGUUACUGUUCCAUGUGAUGUGUUCGCAGUAGUGAUAUAAUUUUUUUUUUUUCUUGAAACAGAUGGUGUUCAAAUUUUUGGUGAUAUUGCGGACUAUGAGUUGGAUGGUAAGCUUUAGUUUUUUCUUUAAGGUUUAUGAGUAAUUAUCGGCGUACUUCCUCAUGUUCUNNNNNNNNNNNNNNNNNNNNNNNNNNNNNNNNNNNNNNNNNNNNNNNNNNNNNNNNNNNNNNNNNNNNNNNNNNNNNNNNNNNNNNNNNNNNNNNNNNNNNNNNNNNNNNNNNNNNNNNNNNNNNNNNNNNNNNNNNNNNNNNNNNNNNNNNNNNNNNNNNNNNNNNNNNNNNNNNNNNNNNNNNNNNNNNNNNNNNNNNNNNNNNNNNNNNNNNNNNNNNNNNNNNNNNNNNNNNNNNNNNNNNNNNNNNNNNNNNNNNNNNNNNNNNNNNNNNNNNNNNNNNNNNNNNNNNNNNNNNNNNNNNNNNNNNNNNNNNNNNNNNNNNNNNNNNNNNNNNNNNNNNNNNNNNNNNNNNNNNNNNNNNNNNNNNNNNNNNNNNNNNNNNNNNNNNNNNNNNNNNNNNNNNNNNNNNNNNNNNNNNNNNNNNNNNNNNNNNNNNNNNNNNNNNNNNNNNNNNNNNNNNNNNGGAAAAAAGGGACUCGCCGGGGAGGGAAAGUGGUUGGGGACGCUGCUGGAGUCUUCUGGGGUGGAGGCGCGCCGGUGCCGGAGGGUGGAGAACGGACGGACAUCCGCACUUUAAGUUGAGUGCGGACGUCCGCUUCAUAUCCUUUCUUUAUAUAUAUAUAUACAGGAAUUCUUAAGUGCGGACGUCCGCACCAAAGUUUUCGUGCGGAUUUCCGUUUUUGCACCACUUUUCGAUCGAAUUUUCUCAUCUCCACCGUCUAGUAUCUAGAUAAUAUUGUGUAGAUCAUCUCUGCAAAAUUUCAGCUAAUUUGGUAAUCGUUANNNNNNNNNNNNNNNNNNNNNNNNNNNNNNNNNNNNNNNNNNNNNNNNNNNNNNNNNNNNNNNNNNNNNNNNNNNNNNNNNNNNNNCGAGUUUGAGGGCCUUAACGAUCACCAAAUUGGCUGAAAUUUUGCAGAGAUGAUCUACACAAUAUUAUCUAGAUACUAGACGGUGGAGAUGAGGAAAUUCGAUCAGAAAGUGGUGCAAAAAUGGAAAUCCGCACCGAAACCUUCGGUGCGGACGUCCGCAGCCAAGAAGGGCUAUACACACACACACACACACAUAUAUAUGUUCACACUGCUAUGCUAUCGAGUUGUUUUUUGUUAAGAUGAUUUCACCAGCCCUUAAUUAGCGUAGUCAUUGUGGUUUUCACAUCAUGUAUGAUUGAUUAUGUCUUCUCUAACCAAAUUAUUUUGGUCUGUGUGCUAUACAGUGACUAUUUGUUGCUAUGAUCACAGAUCUGAUUGCAUCUGCAAUCUUAUAUAUGUAGCUGCCAUGCUUAUUGCAUUUGAAAACCUUCAAACCAUCCCUACUGUUACCUUUAUUGACUUUCGUAGUAAUGGAGUUAAAAAAUAAAUUUGGGCAAAUUGUGGGUUAUAUGAUCCCUACUAUUACCUUUAUUCUUAAUAUAACUGCAAUAUAUGUCUCGUGUGGGAUCAUCUAUCAUUUUUGCAGUGCACCCCAUUUAAUUAGGAAACAUAUUUUUUUGCUUUCCUUGUGUCACUAUUCAAUUUCACCUGUUGACAUUAGUGAUAUUUUUUUGUUGGUUAUAACAGCUGUCACUUACUCUCUCUUUCUUUUUUCUGAUACAGAAGUUGUGUUUACUUUUGGUAAUGAACCCGGUUCGAUCCCCAUUGAUGGUAAGGUUUAGAUUUUGUUUUGAAGGCUUGUAAGGAACAAUAUUGGGAACUUCCUGGUGCUCCGAUUUGUUGAAAAUUUUAUCUUGGUAGAGUUUAUAUUUUCACAAUAAAUUACCAGCCCUUGAUUAGUCAUUGUGGUUUUUACAUUGUGUAUGGCUGAUAAAGAAUAAUAAUAGUUCUUAAAUGUCUGCUACAACCAAAUUAUUUUGGUCUUUGUGCCGUGCAUGAUUCAUUUGGGUGCCGAUUUACUAUUGAAUGAAGCAAUAAUAUUGUUGAUGUUGGUUGGUCACUGAAUUAUGCAUAUAUAGAUGAUACACUAUAUUAGGUAUGCCAUGUUUUUGGGGGUUUUACCUGAUCACUGAUUCUUUUUCUUUUUCUUUCUUAGCGGAACUAUCAUUUAUACCACCAGCAGUCAGCAAGGUUGGGAAAGCAAAGCGUUCAGCUGCUAGGCCUUUACACGGUAAGAUUUUUGUGUGUGUGUUUAUAUAUAUUCUUUUUCUUCUGUAGGUUUGUGAGGAAUGUUACCGAUACAACUGCUACUAUCUAUUAGUCUUGAUGUUUUUGGUUUUCACAUCAUAUAUGUAUUAAAUUACAUAUAUGUUGACACGAUACCCCUGUAGGGCAUGUAUAUAUUCUGGGAUAUCUUGGAUUUGAUUUUGGUCAGUUUUUUUUUCUUAAUACCUGGGUCUGGUAUUGCCCUAAUGCGUUUGAAAACCUACAAACUAUACCUACUGUUACCGUGAUCGUCGUUUUGGAGGUUUAAAAAUAAUUUAGGGAGACUGCAGUAUAUUUCUCUGGUGUCUUACACUUUUUUAAUUGCAGGUUUUGGCAUUUCUCCUGAGAGCACCUCUGUUUGUGUGGCAUAGUUUGUGGUUUCUGAUGAUGGCACUUCAGGUUGGGGCAGCAGUGUGUUUUGAGGGAAAAUGUUUUAUUUUGAUGCUCUGUUUACAUUUCCCAAGUCUUUGUAAGAAAGUUCUGUGGAUUGAUUGGCAUUUCUGGUUAAUAUUGUAGAAUUUGUUUAAAAUUAAUGGAAGGUGAAUAUUAAUUAGAAAAAUUCAAAAAGUGAAUAAAAGUAGAAAUUUAAGUAAUCUUAACGUAAUUGAUAAACUUAACAUUUUUUCUUGCGCUGAAAGUAAGCAAUCAACUAGAGAAGUUGUCGGAAAAGAAAAAAAAAAAUACGACUAGGUUGAAAGCUGAAGGCUUGAGGGUGUAUUUGCUGCUCAGGGCAGUACGUGAAGCGGGUGCUUGUGGGUGGGUGCAAGCUGAGAGUUCUCGUCUUUUUUUUUUUGUUUUGGUCUGCAAGCUGAGAGUGGCAAAGGCUCUUUGUGGAGCUUUUGCAGAUGCUACUAGGUACCCAAUUCCGGUAAAGGCCGGGUUGGUUCACAUUUCAUUGGGACGUGGCCAGAUGCUGUGGAGCUGGUUUCUGUGAAAUCUAAUUAAUUUACUUGAAGGACUGGUCUAUUAUAUGUGAUUAAAAUAGUUCAUUAAAAAACUAUUUGAUGUUCAUCUCCACAACAACAUACAGAAAUUGAACUUGAAUGAUCAUAUAACUUCGGUACAACUUCGGUGUGGGUGGUUUCAACUUUGGCAUGUGUUUCCAACAGGCAUGGUAUACCGGCACAGCAGAAUUUUCCAUAACUUCAAACUAUUUGUGAAACACAUUGUCAUGUGCACUUUGAAACAAAGUUAGACAGUAAAAUAUUAGAGGAAGGUGUGGCAUUUUUACAGAUUCCUGGUAUAUUUACAGAUUCAUGUAUAUGCAAGGAACAAUCCUGAUGCCUGCAAUUUAUUGGGAGUUAGUAUCUUAUCUUAUUCAUAAAUAACGAUCAUUCAUGUGUUUUUAGGUAUAUAAGUACUAUAUCUUACCAGUUUGUAGGAAUAGUGAUAUUUCCUAGUUCAAGCAGGAGAGUAUAAUCACACAGAAAUAACUAAAAAUGGAUGGGAGAAAGUAUCAUGUAUUGCAUCACUAAGCUUCUUGAAUUCCCAGAUAAUGCUCUAUGGGCAGGUUCAAAAUGCUUGCUUGCAACAUCAGGUGGCUUUGCAUCUUCCCCACGACGGACAACAAUCCCCUUUUUGCGAAGAGAAGAUGGCUCGUUAGAGCAGGCAUUCCAGAGGCAGUCUACCAGCUGUCUCUCCUCUCUAGCUGCUCCAAGCUCUCUAGGUGACAUCGAACUGAUAGCCUCGAUUCAUUUUUGAAAAAGCUGCUUCAAUUUCUCAUUUUCUUCAGCUUAUUAUUAUUGACCCAUCAGUUUUCUUUUGAGCAAGCUCAAGAAGACCCAGGAGUGCAGCUUCUCGCACUUCAAGAUCAUUGCUCGCAAGGUCCAUCAUCAUGUGUGGAAAUCCUAAAUCUCCCAUUAUGUUGAAUUAGAAGAAUUCUCACGCAGUAGGAAAUCGAUCAUGUUUAAGGCUCUCCUGAAACUUAAUGGUUAAAUUUCAUGAGAUUUUCAUAAUUAGACAUUGAACAACAUGUGAAAAUAUCCAGAUCAUAAGAAAUAGUACCUCUGAAAUAUCACACUUUCGGAAGCUAAAGCAUCUCUCAAAGCAGCAUAACCAUUUGUAGGACGAAAAGCAGUGACACAGUUUGUUAAUCUCUUAUUAAACCGGAAAGAGUCAUUCGUUUGCAAAAUAUCUGGGCACGGCAAUCAUGUCGUUUUCAAACCUCAAAAUUAGUAUUUUGGCACAACAAUAAACACAAUUCACCAUCAUACUACUAAAAGCCUGACUUGCAGCCUUGCAGGAUAUUGCUUCUAGAGCUUUGGUCUGAACAGAGACAUCAACAUCUGAAGUGAAUAAAGAAAACAGAUGUUCCCAGCCGUUUUUGCUUCCAUUACCAGUUGUUGGCUCUUGGGGUUGUUCUACACAAUUGUGGAUACAACCUCUCCAGCAUUUAUUUGAAUCCUCUGUGGGGACUCUUUAGGAACACCGCAAUAGAGGGACCAAACCACCAAUUGAGAGAAGAUACUACGACAGAUAAAUUAACAACACAUUAUAACAACCCUUCUGCUUCUAUAUGCCAUAAAAUGCAAGCACAUCAACUUCAUGAAUCAAUUAAUGGAAAAGGUAACAAUGUGCCAUCAGCCAUGUCAAAGGACUCAACCUGCUUCUGCACUUCAUCGUUACGACUCUGCCAUAUCCAGAAAAUAAUUACUAACAAUACUAACAUACUAUUAACUUAAAAACUGUUAGAGCACAAGGAAAACUCAAUUUGAAUAUCAGCAGGCUCCCAGAGCUCCCAAAUCCUCCUGAGGUGUUUUCCAUAACAAGUGUGUUAUCUCUUCAUGCGCUUUAACCCACAUCAAUGGUCUGCCUGCAUGGCUUCCAUGAAAUACUUAAGGUCUUCCACACUAUAACAAAAAACCACAAACCACUGAUUUUGAGACAUAUACAACUAUACAACACAGAUAUAUAGAACAAAGAGUUGCAGAGUUUAUUAGAGAGUGAGAAUACAUCGAACUUCGAUUUGGGUGAGUUCCAUUAGGGUGAGCAAGGCUCCAUUUAAACAUGGUGUACUUAAUUAGCAUACCACUGCGCGCAAGAGAAAGGGUUCGGAACUUCGGAUUAUAGGUAGAAGAUCUCCAUGCUGCACAUGACUCAAAAAUGGUGCAAGAGAAGGCCUUACCCUUGAAGAGUCCAAGCCAGCUUAUAGUUUAUCUGUAGUAUACCACAGUUAUAUAUCUCGUAAUCCGGUAGUUAUUUGUAUCAUAUUGGACUGCUGACCCAGGAGUGACAUACAAAAUUUCAGACCAGCUUCAUAAACCAGUCGGAUUCAAAGGCUUCACCCUAAGGUCAUCAUCUUUUAUCAAACUGUUAAUAACUAAUCUACAUAUAAAUUUUGAAAAGGUCAAAUCAAUCAAAGAAGAAAAAGAAAAAGCAGAUAAAUUCUGAAUUGAUCCAUGACAGUUUAGCCGGCUUAAAACACGGCAAGACAACAAGUUUUCAGAACAUUCUGAAUAAAUAAACAAACAUCUCCACAACAGCAAAUUCUUAACCAAGUUCCAUGAAACUCUAUCUUAAUAGUCCCUUUCAUCUACAAAAUCCCUAGCAAGCGCUGUGAAUACUUCCUUUGUUGGCUUUUUAAAUUCAACUGUGUGAGUAGCACCUGAAUUCAACUUCAACACAGCCUGUCCUCUUCCACUGUUGUUAAAAGCUGUGUUAGCUGUUGCAUCUUUAAAAAAAUCGAGACAUCUGACAAUCAGUUGCUGGUGAACUCCAAGCAGCAAAAUCUUAGGAACACUAGAAAAUUGCUUCUUAAUGAAUUUGGUCACCGCCUCCUCAUUCUCCUCUUCAUAUGCGAAUUUUCGGGUGAUACAUAGCAAUUUGGUACUCAAUAUGUGGAUCAAAUGAUCAUGCUUGUCAGCCAAAUGCUUGAUCAUAUGAUCCUUCUCCUCUUCGAUUAUUAGACCUUCUGGAGAUAAAAUGGCUCCUUGAAUGAAACCGCCAGUGUAUAUAUCAUCUAAACCAGAUACUGUAGCACAUUCCUUCAGGGAGGAAAGCCACUCAUCAUGUGUUUCAGGAUUCCCCCUCUCUUUCAAUAUUAUGACCAAGUGUUCUCUAGCAGCCUCUCCUCCUGUCCCAGACGAAACCAUAGACCCACUUCCAAAUGCAUCACGAUCUUUAGUUCCAAUUAACUUAAUACAAGGUGCUCCAUUCAUUCCAUCAACUGAGUAUAUACCAAACUGUGCUUUAAGUAUUGGCUUGACUCCUUGAUUUUUCUUAUUCCUCAGGAUCUCUUUUUUCAUGUCUGUCAGAUGUUUCUCUUUGUGCUUCUUAAGCUUUGUACUCAUUUUGUUCAAAUCUUCGGAAUUUUGAGCACAUAUCUCCAACAUCUCAUCAGUUAAAGCAACAUUGCCAGCUGUUGUUGCACAUAUUUUGUCAGUCACUUUGUAUAUCUUCUUAUCAUUUCCUUUUAGCACAAACAAAUUGUCUUGUGGUGUAGAGGAAGAACAUGUACGCCCAUCUGAUACUAUAUAUAUAGUAUCACCAUUUAUGUAUGAUAUGGUGGUUGUCCCCCUUCCAACCCUGAAAAGGAAGCUCGUGAGUACUAUGCAACCAUUUAUGCAUCAAACAUAACUAAGAACAAUGUUCAAACAUAUGUGGAUCAAAUGAUCAUGUUGUAGUUACACUAUAAAUGCUCAACAAAAGACCAAUUGAACUUACAGCAGCCCUUUGGACCACUAUUUAUAUCAAUAGUUUUAUGUUACAUCAUAUAGUGACAUGAUUUCUGGAAUAUGAAUGUGCAUGUACAUUUAGUUCUGAUGUUGUGUAUGCCUUAAAACUGAUAUGUGCAGUUUGAAGAUUUUGCAUUUGGGUUAAUGCAAGGAAUUUCUGGUUUUUUUACAAGGAAAAAAAUUCCUUGCAGAAGGCCAUUUUUCUUGUAGUGUUUUGGGUUUGAAGCAAUGAAGGGAAUAAGUUAUUGGUUUGUUAUAGCUCUUCAAAUCAUAAGUUAUUACUUUUUCCUCCAAGUAAUGGUCUUAUGUUCAUGAUGCAGGUACUUACUUGGUUUCCCCCUUUUCUAACCUUCUCAAUCAUGAGCAUAAAAUUGAGCUUCUUUAUGUGUUUCCUCUACUGACUGUGUCUUCUUACGACUUAUCUAAGUGGAAAGAUUCACUUUUUUUGUUUUCUAUGCCAGGUAGAGCAACUUUAUGCAGAUUAGAGAAUACCUAUAUCAGUAGUAAUGUAGUAUACCUUACACUAAUCCUAAUCAUUUGUCCCUUCUUUAUGAAAAACUAAAAAGAAUACAAUUUGAACUCAAACUUGAAUGCAUUGAAAUAUAAAAGAAAUUUGUAGCACCUACUUGUUCUCUGAAUCAGAGGUAGAAUCCAUCUUGUCCCACCACCACCAAUACUCAACCUUUCCUACAAAAAUAAACCAAAACCUUGAAAAUCAACAAAAAGAUUGAAUCUUUACUGUGUUUUUGUGUUGAAAUACAAUUUUCAGUGUAUGAGAGAGGGAGAGAGGUUAAUGGUAUAAAGAGAGAGGAAGAGAAAGAAGUUAGCUUACAGAGCUUAGGUUGUGCUUGAGAGAGAGAGAGAGGGAGGGGGGUGGAGGAGGAGGCAGUCACAGAGCUUAGUCUCCCUGUUAAGAAAUGUAUUUCUUCUUCUUGAGAGAGAGAGAGAGAGAGAGAGAGAGAGAGAGAGAGAAAGGUGGGAGGCAGUCACAGAGCUUAAUCUCCCCUGUUGAGAACAUGUUUUUCUUCUUCUUCUUCUUCAUUAGAGUUAGCUUUAGUGCUAAUCAAAGCUUGCCAUUUCUAGUAUAGAACGCUGCUUCUCUAGGUUUUGAUUGGUAGAGACUAUAUGGGUUUAGAGUGGGGCUAUGUGCGUAUCUAUGGUGGGGUUUAGACAGAUGUCACCCACUAAAGAAGAAGAGUCCAAAAAAUAUACUUCGAAUUCAUGAACCCUCCCAGGAAGCAUAACUUCAUUAACUGCUUUGGUAGUUUGGUAGUUGUUUGGCAGAUAUUUCAAAUUUAUGUGUCAAAUAAAUUAGAAGUGUAACCUUUAUUCCUAAGUGAAUAAUGUUUUCAGGAACACUGGUUUUACCAGUCAAAAGAAAAAUGGACACUAUUGCUCUUGAUUGGAGGUCUCUUAUAUACAAGUGCUCCCAAAUACAUUUCAAACACAUGAAUUUUUGAAAGGAACUUCCCAUAUGCUGCAAACUGAAGCGAUUCAGCAACAUUGAGCAACCCCUCAAGGCCUCAACUCCCGCUACUCGGCUCUUCCUCCAGUCAUUCUUUGCGGCCAGGCCUCCAUUGACAUUCAGCCUCUCUUGAUGGCAUUGAAGAUCUAGAUUAGUUUGUUUCGGCAAAAGCCCUCAGUUAACCUUGGAGGCUAAAGCAGGGGUAUU
Molecule: long non-coding RNA, 18552 nt
Filed under: Fragaria vesca (wild strawberry)
Lineage: Eukaryota; Viridiplantae; Streptophyta; Magnoliopsida; Rosales; Rosaceae
Description: long non-coding RNA (FVES_LNC002850)
Source: RNAcentral